RNAcentral lists this long non-coding RNA (1579 nucleotides) under Homo sapiens (human). RNAcentral describes it as "non-protein coding HDAC2-AS2:70". The record is from RNAcentral. Lineage: Eukaryota; Metazoa; Chordata; Mammalia; Primates; Hominidae.
AAGCCAGGACCCAUGGAGUCUGAUCUACAACACAAGCAGUAGCAGUUCCACAUCUCCCUACCACCUCUUAUUUCCUACGAAGUCUUUCUGCCUGAAACUGGAAAACCCGAACUAUUAUUGAGGAAGUGAAGCCCUUCCAUUUGAAUCCUGAGAAAGACGCGCUCAAAGAACCCAGCGAACAAAGGAGAGGGUUGGAGCCCACGCAAAACAUGGGUGUGAUAAAGCCACACGCGACCUGAGCCCCCACCCUCAGUAACUACUCUCCAGCGCCCACCGGGAGGAGGGGUCCGGGGAAAGGAUUGGCAUCCUCUGCUUCUGCAGAAAACAUGGCUACCAACAGCUUCUGUAUCCACCUGCGGAGGAGACUGACUGCUCUGUUAUUCCCCCAGCAUCUGUGAAGAGGCUCUGACUGGCUAAAGUGAAGGAGUCUGUAGCUUUAGGGGAAGACAGAGCCACAAGAUGGAAGGAGCUUGGAUGUCUGAACUAUUCCAUGGAGAAAAGCUGCAGCCAACGAAGAACACCUGCAAUGGACUCUUAACCUGGGGGUGACGACAACCACUGAAAUAUGCUGCAUCUUAGUCCAGGGAUUUUUAAAGUGUGGUUCCUGGAAGAGCUGGAUCAGAGUCAUCUGUGUUGAUGGUUUAACAUAAAGAUUUUCGAGCCCCAAGACUCAAGUAGGACAAGGAAUUUGAAUUUUUAAGCAGCUCACCUGACUUGUCUGUCCUCUAAUGUCUGAAGACAUCUGACCUCUGCUCUUUCAGUAAAAGCAACAAUGGUUUUAUGAGCAUUGUCGUCACAUCUCUCCACUCAAGGGAUCCUUCUCAUUUCUCCCAGCUGAGGUCACCCACAGCUGCUGCUUCUAACUGCUGGCUUCCAGCCUGCUGUCUGCCAGCUGGCUCUACCCUCUCCUAUAACACGGCAGAGAGUAGCUGUGGUCUCCUGCGUGCUCACCCUCUGCUCCCUUGGUCCUGCUCCAUGCUUUGGUCCUGCACUUAAAUUUUACAAGCAUACUCUCUUUCUCUUAAGAUAUGUAUCCAAAGGAGACGAAACUCAUGUGUUGAAGAGAUAUCCGCACCCCCAUGUUUGUUGCAGCAUUACUCACAGUAGCAAGCUAUGAAAUUGACCUGAGUGGCCAUCAACAGAUGAAUGGAUAAAGAAAAUGUACGUAUACACAAUGGAAUACUAUUCGGCCAUGAAAAAAACAAAGAAAUUCUGUUAUAUGUUACAACGUGGAUUAACCUGGAGGAUGUUAUGUUAGGUAAAAUAAGGCACGGAAAGACAAUACUGUAUAAUCUCACUCGUGUGUGGAAUCUAAGCAAGUUGAACUCAUAGAAGAAAAGAGUAGAAUGGUAUUUAUCUGAGGCUGGAGCUAUUGGACGUGGCAAGGAGGUGAUGUUGGACAAAACCGAAAUUUCAGUUACACGGGAGGAAUACGUUCAAGGGAUCUAUCGUACAACAUCAUGACUAUAGUUAAUGAUACAUUACAUUUUUGAAAAAUGCUAAGACAGUGGAUAUUAUAUGUUCUCACCACAAAAAUGAUAACUGUAAGGUAACGUGUAUGUCAAUUAAAUAGAUUUAG